GAGGAGCUACCCGAUGGUAGAGGGCGAUUGGCUCUACGAUCAAGACGUUUCGACCCUUGAUCGUACCAUGAGGAGAGCCUUGCUGGACGAACGCUUGUUGCGUGAAUGGCAGAUCCGGUGGGAUGACAGCGAACACGGCCGUGUUACGCAUAGGUUCAUCCCGGAUGUUAGCUUCGUGUACAGCCGCCCCGACUUCAGUUUCACGAUGCCGACCAGUUUCCUCAUAACUGGUCAUGGCUCGUUGAAUGCUUUUCUGCAUGCGCGCGGUCUUAGCGAGACUGCUGGAUGCCUAUGUGGCCAUCCCCUGGAGGACUGGCUACACGUAUUGUGUGCCUGCCCCCUCUAUGCGGAUGUGCGGGAUCUGCAAGGACUUAGGAUUCAGCAGUCGGAAUCCGGUGACUGGACCAUGGAGAGGACCUUGAUGGAGGCGGAGAGCAUGCAACUGCUUGAAGACUAUGCUCGCACAGUCUUCAGCAGGCGACGCAUGCUGAUGGAUGGCAUGGGACCUGGCAGGCCAGUGCCGGACUGACGUUAGUCAAAACUGGUAGUAGAAUUAUCUGCGAGGGUCGGACCAAAGUCCUUAAAUUUGGGAGACGAAGUCCUUCGGGAUCAGUCGAAAGGCCGACCAGAGCCUCAAUCUGGCAGACUCUCUUCUCGGAGAGAGUCGAAGGGCUGACCAGAGCCUUAAUCUGGAAGACAAAUCCAAUCUGGAGGCGUCGAAGGGCUGACCAGAGCCUUAAUCUGGAAGACAAAUCCAAUUCUGGACGCGUCGAAGGGCUGACCAGAGCCUUAAUCUGGAAGACAAAUCCAAUUUGGAGGCGUCGAAGGGCUGACCAGAGCCUCAAUCUGGAAGACAAAUCCAAUUCUGGAGGCGUCGAAGGGCUGACCAGAGCCUCAAUCUGGAAGACAAAUCCAAUUUGGAGGCGUCGAAGGGCUGACCAGAGCCUUAACCUGGAAGACAAAUCCAAUUUUGGAGGCGUCGAAGGGCGGACCAGAGCCUUAAUCUGGUAGGUUAUCUCUUCGGAGGUGCCGCCGGUGUUAACCCAGUUUCCAGGUUGUCGGAAACCAAAAUGGGCAGUAGUCGCGGACUACUUUCAGCCGAUCAAAGCUGCAAAUUGUAACAGAUUUGAAAUUUGAACCACGGGAUGGGCUAGUGUCCGAGGCUAGCCCAGUGAGGUUGGCCCCCUUUAGUGGGAGUAUCGUGGUGGCUGUGGUGUUACCCGCUGUGUCUCCACUAUAGUUGGAGCACAGCUGCUGGGUCCAAUGUGUAUUUGGACCACAGCCGGAAGCUGUACCCGUAGUCAGCAGAGGUUAUGAUAGGCCUCGCCUCGACCCAAGAGGGAAUUGUGUCCGACAACACAAUUCGAGUUGGUAGCUAAAAGCGUUCUUUUAGGGGCGUUGGUGGACGCAUUGUUUUCACCCGCUGUACUAUGUGUCACAUAUGUGGCACAUGCGAGUACCGUGGUUGUAAACCCCCAUCGGGGUACACGUCACGUUAAACAAAUCAAGGAUUCUGUCCCUAUCUACUUGGGCUAGUGUCCGAGGCUAGCCCAGUGAGGUUGGCCCCCUUUAGUGGGAGUAUCGUGGUGGCUGUGGUGUUACCCGCUGUGUCUCCACUAUAGUUGGAGCACAGCUGCUGGGUCCAAUGUGUAUUUGGACCACAGCCGGAAGCUGUACCCGUAGUCAGCAGAGGUUAUGAUAGGCCUCGCCUCGACCCAAGAGGGAAUUGUGUCCGACAACACAAUUCGAGUUGGUAGCUAAAAGCGUUCUUUUAGGGGCGUUGGUGGACGCAUUGUUUUCACCCGCUGUACUAUGUGUCACAUAUGUGGCACAUGCGAGUACCGUGGUUGUAAACCCCCAUCGGGGUACACGUCACGUUAAACAAAUCAAGGAUUCUGUCCCUAUCUACUAUCUAGCGAAACCACAGCCAAGGGAACGGGCUUGGAAUAAUUAGCGGGGAAAGAAGACCCUUUUGAGCUUGACUCUAAUCUGGCAGUGUAAGGAGACAUAAGAGGUGUAGAAUAAGUGGGAGAUAUUAGGCUUCGGUUUGAUAUCGCCAAUGAAAUACCACUACUCUUAUUGUUUCCUUACUUACUUGAUUAAGUGGAACGUGUAUCAUUUCCUAGCCAUUAUACGGAUAUAUUAAUUAUGUCUUAUGGUAUUGGGUUUUGAUGCAAGCUUCUUGAUCAAAGUAUCACGAGUUUGUUAUAUAAUCGCAAACAAAUUCUUUAAUGAGAAAAUGCAGCAAUGUGUUUUUGAUUUAAUAAUUUGGUAUAACUCCAAUUACUCAGGUAUGAUCCAAUUCAAGGACAUUGCCAGGUAGGGAGUUUGACUGGGGCGGUACAUCUCUCAAAUAAUAACGGAGGUGUCCCAAGGCCAGCUCAGUGCGGACAGAAACCACACAUAGAGCAAAAGGGCAAAUGCUGACUUGAUCUCGGUGUUCAGUACACACAGGGACAGCAAAAGCUCGGCCUAUCGAUCCUUUUGGUUUAAAGAGUUUUUAACAAGAGGUGUCAGAAAAGUUACCAUAGGGAUAACUGGCUUGUGGCGGCCAAGCGUAUAUAGCGACGUCGCUUUUUGAUCUUUUGAUGUCGGAUCUUCCUAUCAUUGCGAAACAAAAUUUCCCAAGCGUUGGAUAGUUCGUCCAGGCAAGGGAGCGUGAGCUGGGUUUAGACCGUCUUGAGACAGGUGAGUUUUACCCUAUUAAUGACAAAACGUUGUUGCGACAGCAUUCCUUGCGUAGUACGAGAGGAACCGCAGGUACGGACCAAUGGCACAAUACUUGUUCGAGCGAACAGUGGUAUGACGCUACGUCCGUUGGAUUAUGCCUGAACGCCUCUAAGGUCGUAUCCGUGCUGGACUGCAAUGAUAAAUAAGGGGCAAUUUGCAUUGUAUGGCUUCUAAACCAUUAAAAGUUUAUAAUUCAUUUUAUAGACGACAAUGGAUGUGAUGCCAAUGUUAUAUAUAACAUAGUAAAUUGGGAGGAUCUUCGAUCACCUGAUGCCGCGCUAGUUAUAUUUUAAAACAUUAUUU
This 3033-nucleotide ribosomal RNA is filed under the name Drosophila mojavensis. RNAcentral describes it as "eukaryotic LSU rRNA". The stretch from base 1879 to 3033 matches the Rfam family "Eukaryotic large subunit ribosomal RNA", at positions 1891 to 3320 of the family's 3401-position model. Lineage: Eukaryota; Metazoa; Arthropoda; Insecta; Diptera; Drosophilidae. The record is from RNAcentral.